ACAGUCUGACCCUGGCCAAACAGUGCCACCCAGUUAGGAGUGAAAGACACAAGGUAUAAGAAAAGAUGCUCCAGAAUUGUUAUUUCAUGGGGAAUGCAAACAGUUACUAAAACAAAAUAUUUAACAGUUUUUUUUUAUUGCUAUAAUGAAUUAAAAAUCAUUUACGUAUGCAAAAAUCUAGAUUAAUAAUAAUCUAAUAUUUUGCGCAUACAGUACCGAGGGAGACCUAUGUAUCUUCAUGGUUACAGACUACAAACAAACCUUGUGUGCAGUAUGCGUCUUGUUUUAGAUUACCAUGGGAUUACUUUAAACUCCAUACUGCUAUUUUGAAGGAAUUAUCUCAUUUAAAUGAUGGUGGGAAUCAGAUAAAAGAAGUGUAGUAUGUAAAUUUCCUAGCCCAAUGUGAUAUAUGGCUAUGUGAAAUGGAUGGGGGCAAUACUUGCUAAAGGAAAUAUGAAGGCAUGCAGAACUGUUGGAUUAAAAAGAAGCUAUUGACUGGCAUGUUUAAAAACUAUUCACAUCUAAAAUGCUGUGUAUUAUGAAGUGCAGAGGACCUGUCACCACGUAAUGCAGCAGGUUGUAGAGCAGGAGAAGCUGAAAACACAUUGAUAUAUCAUUUCUGGGAAAAGUCAGUAAAACUUAAUUUAUGCAUUUAAAUCUCUGCUCUUUCUGGCGACAGAAUGAAGUUUAAAGGGAAUAUGUCACCAGGUACUUCCCUAUCCUACUGUUUGUAUGGACACAUAGCUGUGGUUCACCUGAUUAAAAUGCUGUUUUUCUUUUGUUGAUCUGAGGCUCCAUUCCAGAGCCUUAUGAUGCAAAUUAGGCCCUUGGUGCAAUGAGGGAAUCACGGUUGCUCUUGUUGCAAUCAAGCUCCAUUCUUUUCAGUGGCCAGCCCCUCCAUGGCUGUUUUGAAUGACAAAGCAGUGAGGGAGAGAGGAGCUUGGGUCAACAAGAGCAAUGGUAAGACCUUCAUUGCACCAAAACCUCAUUUGCACAUUAAGAAAAAGUAUUGCAACUAGGGAAUGGAGCCUUGGUUCAACAAAAGACUGCAUUUUAAUCGGGGGAACCAGAGCUAAGUGUCCAUGCAAACAGUUGGAUAGGGAGGUUACUGGUGACAGAUUCCGUUUAACAAAAAGAAAUCCUUACCUUUUAGUGCACUAACAUAAUAACAUAAUACUGAAAAUAAGAGUUUAGAGAGUAUAUACUGUACAAAUGCAAAUGCAGCGGAGCUAAACUUGAUGGUUAGCGCAUUAAGUAAAGAAUGGCAAGAAAAAGAUAACUAACUGUUCAGUGGAUUUCAAUAGCUUUUGUCACGAGAUAACUGCGAUAACACUGUGCCAUGUGUUAUCAGAUUCAAGUUUAGCUCUGCUACAUCUGAACUUUACUUCAUAUAUCCAAAUAUUGUACUACAUUGCUGUAAAUAUCAUCAAUAUAAAAACCUGCAAAACUAAUUUAGGCUAUUCUAAAAUCCAUGUUCUUGCUACUGUUGUACAAACAAUGUCCAUUAAACAAAAGGAUUUCUUGCUACCAGAAAUAAUGCUUAUACAUAUUUAAAAUGAACAUGAAGAAUAAAUAAAACUGAAUACUCAGUCAGAAUAAAUCUUUUUUUCCUAAGUGCUCUCCAUAUUCCUCAUUCUGGAAGACAUAGCCAUACGGUGAAUGGACAUUGUUCAGAGAUAAGUAAUUAUAAAAUAAACACCCAGCACCAAGUAUUAUAGGACUAUAAAGAAACAGAAUAUGUAAAUAUAAUUUGCUUUGAAAUCUUAGGAAGGAACUGAAGUAAUCAAUAGUUCUUUGUGUAUCUAUAGUAUUAUUUUUCAUACAACUUUGCAGAAAUCAAUAGUACAUGCACCCCACAAGAAACUAUGUAAUAUGUCUUAGCAGAGAGAAAUGUCUACUUCUUAUUUUAGAAGCUACUAAGCUCCACUAAUUUGCAUUUACUUUGAAAAAUGCCUUAAUCCCAUCCUAGACUGGAACAGACCCACAAGAGGAUCAUAUUACACAUAUGAGUGCAAGUCUAUGGAGAGGGGGGGGAGUGAGCAGGAGCACACACCGACACGAAGACUGCUGGAGCUACAUGGACUCAUAUAUAAACUACCUGAGUGCUUAAUCCACAACCAUACAGGUCAGUACUACUCUCUUUUGUCCUCCAUUAUCUUGAGGUUGGUUCUGAGGAACUAAGAGAAGGUUAAUAAGCAGAUUCUGCUCUACUUUCUAUGUGCAGUUGAUGGCAGCUGGUCUCCUUUCACCAUCUCUGAGAGUACUGCAAACUAGACACUCACUAUGCACAGAGGAAAACUGCUAAAAAAUGGCACAUACAAGUCAUAUAGUGGCCAGAAAUAGUGUUCUUUCUCAUUUACACACACUAUACUAUUGAUUAAUGCAAAGUUUGUUGAAAAGUUAGGUACACUUUAAAUGGACUGUUGUAAACACAAGGGUACAUGUCUUAACAUAAUCUAUCUUUAGUCGUCAUACAAAAUUAGCUAUUGUAGCUGCUUCUAAAGCAUUGUCAAAAGUGUCGAAUGCUGUUUCAAGAGAUCAUUAUACAUGAUGGUCAAUAUAUAGUAAGGUCAACAGGUCUUUUGUACAAUUUGCUGGUUUAAACUAUUGGUGUUUGCUAAAAAUGAAGCUGUCACUGGAACAGGCACCUGUAACAGACUUCAAACCAUUAAAGUGGAUAUCCAAAAUAAUUAAAAUUCUCGGACAUGUACCCAAAUGCUGUUAAAUAAAGAUAAAAAUAUAGUAUACUUACCUCUUUCCCUGCCACCAUUCUCAUGACCCACUAGUCCGGUCCUCCUAUUGCUUUUUUACUGAUUGCAGCUGUGGUGUACCAAUAUAAGGCAUGUGACUGUUGCAGCCAUUCACUGUUCUCAGCAGUAUACAUAUAUCGUACAUCAACGCUGCAGUCGGUAAGCAAGCAGUGGUAGGAGGACUGGCAGAGCGGAGAAUGGCACCAGAGAAAGAGGUAAGUUUACCAUGAUUUAAUAUUUUACAGCUUUUGGGGGCAUGUUUAAGAUUUUUAAUUGUCUCGGACAACAAAUUUAGCUAAGCUGACAUCUACAAGAGGCCAUGCCACACUACCCUACAGCAGUCGUUAGAAAAGUACCUCGUUGGGAGACAAAGCAUGCUACUUCUGGUACCAAGAUUGGCUCUAUGGAGAAUAGGUGGGCAUUUAAUAGCUGCAACCAUAUAUACUAUUUCGGCUUGCAUAUAGCAACCUACCAGUACCCUAAUGUAAAGAGGGAAAAUAUUAAUUUAAAUAAAGCUAAAAGCACGUACCUCCCAAAACGUGGUCAACUUGAAAGGAAAUGUCCACCCUUGAACACAAUCUAGGUUUUUUGUUAUCUAAAUAAUUCCAGAAUUAUGUACUGAUUCAUUUCUUUCUUUAUUUGUUUUGUUAUAGCAGUGGGUGCUACAUCUUUCUGGUACAAAGCUUAAAGGAAAUGUGCCACCAAAAUUUUUAUCUGCUAGUUAAAAUCAGAUAGUAGCACAUCUUGUUUUAAUCUGUUUUUAUUUUCUGAACAUGAUUAUGUGGGUGGCCAUCUUGCCUUAGCUGUUCUUAAUGGCAUUUACAAAACAUUAAAAACAUUGCUUUACGGCAGUCCAAUGGGCCAUAGACAGGAGGGGACCCUAUUGACUUACAUGGGAAAGUUUUCUAGGCAUGCUCUGUGACCCGUGCAAAGGUCAUUGUACAGGGAAAGAAUAGAUAACUUUUGACAAUCACCUAUUGUGAAUUGUGGAUCCUGUCUUAUCUAAACAAUUACAGGCAGGAUAACAAUGAGUUAACUGCAGUAAAGUGAUCUGUACAAACAAAGAAGUGGCACCAAUAUUAAACAUAGUGGCCAGUGCAACAACUGCAGGAUUUUUGGUUUUAAUUUAAAUAUAAAAAGUGACAUGGAAAA
Bufo bufo (common toad) is the source of this 3902-nucleotide long non-coding RNA. RefSeq lists it as uncharacterized. The record is from RefSeq and is a predicted model, not a curated record. The transcript has 2 exons. NCBI's taxonomy places the organism in Eukaryota, Metazoa, Chordata, Amphibia, Anura, Bufonidae.